GGGCGGGUAGUUCGGUGGGACAACGCUUGCUUGACACGCAAGAGGUGGUUGGUUCAAUUCCAAUCCCGCCCACCA
Molecule: transfer RNA, 75 nt
Filed under: Desulfotomaculum sp.
Lineage: Bacteria; Bacillati; Bacillota; Clostridia; Eubacteriales; Desulfotomaculaceae
Description: tRNA-Val
Rfam family: tRNA
About the family: Transfer RNA (tRNA) molecules are approximately 80 nucleotides in length. Their secondary structure includes four short double-helical elements and three loops (D, anti-codon, and T loops). Further hydrogen bonds mediate the characteristic L-shaped molecular structure. tRNAs have two regions of fundamental functional importance: the anti-codon, which is responsible for specific mRNA codon recognition, and the 3' end, to which the tRNAs corresponding amino acid is attached (by aminoacyl-tRNA synthetases). tRNAs cope with the degeneracy of the genetic code in two manners: having more than one tRNA (with a specific anti-codon) for a particular amino acid; and 'wobble' base-pairing, i.e. permitting non-standard base-pairing at the 3rd anti-codon position.
Source: RNAcentral